AUACGGAGGGGGCAAGCGUUGUUCGGAUUUACUGGGCGUAAAGGGUGUGUAGGCGGUUGCGUAAGUCUGGUGUGAAAUCUUCACCGCUUAACGGGAAGAGUGCAUUGGAAACUGCGUAACUCGAGUAUGGUAGAGGCAAGCGGAAUUCCUGGUGUAGCGGUGGAAUGUGUAGAUAUCAGGAAGAACAUCUGUGGCGAAGGCGGCUUGCUGGGCCAUCACUGACGCUGAGACACGAAAGCGUGGGGAGC
Molecule: ribosomal RNA, 248 nt
Filed under: uncultured bacterium
Lineage: Bacteria
Description: partial 16S ribosomal RNA
Rfam family: Bacterial small subunit ribosomal RNA
Source: RNAcentral